Molecule: ribosomal RNA, 772 nt
Filed under: uncultured bacterium
Lineage: Bacteria
Description: bacterial SSU rRNA
Rfam family: Bacterial small subunit ribosomal RNA
Source: RNAcentral
GAUGAACGCUGGCGGCGUGCCUAACACAUGCAAGUCGAACGGACUUUUCAUGAAGCCUAGCGAUUGAAAAGUUAGUGGCGGACGGGUGAGUAACGCGUGGGUAACCUGCCUUGUACUGGGGGACAACAGUUGGAAACGACUGCUAAUACCGCAUAAGCGCACAGCUUCGCAUGAAGCAGUGUGAAAAACUCCGGUGGUACAAGAUGGACCCGCGUCUGAUUAGCUGGUUGGUGAGGUAACGGCCCACCAAGGCAACGAUCAGUAGCCGGCCUGAGAGGGUGAACGGCCACAUUGGGACUGAGACACGGCCCAAACUCCUACGGGAGGCAGCAGUGGGGAAUAUUGCACAAUGGGGGAAACCCUGAUGCAGCAACGCCGCGUGAGUGAAGAAGUAUUUCGGUAUGUAAAGCUCUAUCAGCAGGAAAGAAAAUGACGGUACCUGACUAAGAAGCCCCGGCUAACUACGUGCCAGCAGCCGCGGUAAUACGUAGGGGGCAAGCGUUAUCCGGAUUUACUGGGUGUAAAGGGAGCGUAGACGGUUUUGCAAGUCUGAAGUGAAAGCCCGGGGCUUAACCCCGGGACUGCUUUGGAAACUGUAGAACUAGAGUGCAGGAGAGGUAAGUGGAAUUCCUAGUGUAGCGGUGAAAUGCGUAGAUAUUAGGAGGAACACCAGUGGCGAAGGCGGCUUACUGGACUGUAACUGACGUUGAGGCUCGAAAGCGUGGGGAGCAAACAGGAUUAGAUACCCUGGUAGUCCACGCCGUAAACGAUG